Molecule: non-coding RNA, 148 nt
Filed under: Homo sapiens (human)
Lineage: Eukaryota; Metazoa; Chordata; Mammalia; Primates; Hominidae
Source: Rfam by way of RNAcentral
GCCGGGUGUGGUGGCACACACCUGUAAUCCCAGUUACUCGGGAGGCUGAGGCAGGAGAAUCGCUUGAACCCGGGAGGCAGAGGUUGCAGUGAGCUGAGAUCUUGCCACUGCACUCCAGCCUGGGCAACAGAGUGAGACUCUGUCUCAA